AACGCGCAGGACAAGGACGCGCCGAGCUCACUCCCACUGGGCUGAAGGACGAAAAUGGAACUGCCCGAGUCUUCCUGGUCCUAACGCAGUUACCCAUGCAGAUUAAACCGCUGAAACCAAAGCAAGGAGUUAACUUUAUCUUUUUGUUCCUUUAACUGCUCCUCUCUUUUGCUCCUCCCAUGGUAAGACUCCAUGGAGAAGUGUGCGUCAAGCUGACCACGAUGACUGGGGCAUUGGCCAGCGAAGCGAGGCGAGGCGAAUUUUUUUCCCCCUUCUCCUUUCUUCUCCUUUGUUAAGGCAGGUUUUGCGAUUGUCGUUGUGAUUAUUUAAUGCGUUGCGCUGUUUCGGUUUAGCCUUGGAUUUGGGUCCAGAGACCGCAAGAAAAGGGGAGAGGGAGGGGAGGCUCGAUGUCUGCACUUUAUUCCUCCCUCAAAUGGGAUGCCUUGUGUGCUGUUGUAUCCUGGGACGGAGGUUUAGAACUUGAAGACCUGAAAGAGACAGUCCUCCCUUCCCUGCUGCCCUCUUCUCCGCUCGUCUCCUUGUUCCUCCAUCUCUCGCCUUGCUAGCUACCUGCAUUCCUUUAGCUCCCCGCAAAAUCGGAUUUUGAGCACUUCUGCGGCCGCUUUUCUUCAAAACCAAGGUUCUGGAUCCCAAACCUCUUGAAGAAGGGUCAAAAUCCUUUUUUUUUCUUCUUCUUCUUCUCUCUUUCUUUGCUUUUGAUCUGGGCAGCCGACUGUGUUGUUGAUCUGCUGCUUUCAACCGGUGCAGAAAGCUCAUGAAUAAUAUUGCUAAAUCCUUGGGAAGGUUUGAGUGCUGCAACGAUGAGAGAUGAAAGUUCCAAGAAGAGCAAGCUGUCAUGGUCCAAGGCUGUCAAAAACUGGUUCAACAUCAAAAUCAAAGGUCAGGAGAGCCAUGCUGAUGAUAUGGUUGGCAAGGGUAGUAGACAAUCGAGAGCCAACUUCUCGGAGAGGGAGGCAUGCACAUGCAAGAAAAGUAGAACAGAUAAAUCAUUGCAAAAGGACGUAGAUCAAGUUCAGCGAGGAAGGUUUGAUCUUCAUCCAGCUCAAAUAACAGACAUUCAGGAUUACAAGAUCUUUGUUGCGACUUGGAAUGUGGGUGGAAGGCCUCCGCCAAAGAACUUAAAUCUCUUGGAUUGGAUACAUGCCUCUUCUCCUGCAGACAUAUAUGUUUUAGGGUUUCAAGAGAUUGUUCCACUUAAUGCUGGAAAUGUUCUCGGUACAGAAGACAAUGUUCCAGCUAAGAAGUGGUCGUGGCUUAUUAGGAAGACCUUGAACAGCCCUGACACAUGUGGCUCAGACAGUUACCAUACACCAUCUCCUGUUCCAAUUCCUAUCUCAGAAUUAAAUGCUGAUUUUGAAAGAUCGUCACUGAAGAAGAAGAAUUCAUCAUUUCUCCACCGCCGUUCCUUUCAUUCUCUGAGUCGUAGUUUAAGAAUGGAGGGGAAUACCAUGCUUUCUCACCCCAUGCUGGAUCGCAGGUUCAGUGUUUGUGAAAGAGUUAGCUUUGGAAGCAGACCAAGUGAUUUUGAUCCUAGUUUAAGAGGCGAAGGUCCUGAAGGAUCAUCUGAUGAUGAGACCAUUGACGAGGAGUCACCUACCUCAAUCUUUUUCUCACCAUUUUAUGCUUAUGGAGGUCCUUCAUAUUCCAACAAAAGGGAAAGGUUAUCUGCAAAUUCUAGGUACUGUUUGGUUGCGAACAAGCAAAUGGUUGGAAUAUUUCUUACAAUUUGGGUUCGCAGUGAUAUUAGAGAGGAUGUGAGAAACUUGAAGGUUUCAUGUGUUGGGCGGGGAUUAAUGGGCUAUCUGGGAAACAAGGGUUCUAUCUCAAUAAGUAUGUCACUGCAUCAAACAACCUUCUGCUUUAUCUGUAGUCACUUAACUUCAGGGCAGAAGGAGGGAGACGAGUUACGCAGAAAUUCCGACGUCAUGGAAAUUCUAAGGAAGACUCGAUUUCCCAAGGUCCAGAAAGGUGAUAAUGAAAAAUCUCCUGAAACAAUUCUUGAUCAUGAUCGCAUAGUAUGGCUUGGGGAUCUGAAUUACCGAAUUGCUCUUUCUUAUCGGUCUGUGAAGACUCUGGUUGAGAUGCGUAAUUGGAGAGCAUUAUUGGAAAAAGAUCAGCUUAGGAUAGAACAACGAUGUGGUCGCGUAUUCAAGGGAUGGAAAGAAGGAAGUAUAUAUUUUCCUCCAACAUAUAAAUAUUCAAACAACUCAGAUCGAUAUGCAGGAGAUGACAUGAAUCCUAAAGAGAAGCGACGGACACCUGCAUGGUGCGAUCGCAUAUUAUGGCUAGGAGGAGGUCUUAAUCAGUUGUCUUAUGUCCGAGGAGAAUCCAGGUUCUCUGACCAUCGGCCUGUUUUCAGCAUUUUCACGGCAGAGGUUGAAACAAUCAAUUACAGUCGAUCCAAGGACGCAGGUUAUUGUAGUUCACGUGUAGAGGUGGAAGAACUCUUACCAUACUCACAUGGUUAUGCGGGACUGAACUACAACUUAGAUGUUCAGUAUCACUAGGCAUUCAUAUUAUACCAUUUUGUGAAGCAGAAAGCAGUUCUUUUGAUCAAGCAGAUCGGAAAAGAACAUCCUGAUUUCAAUGCCUACAUGAUCCUAGUGAAGGAUUAGGAGAUUCUGAAAAAAAAAAAUCCAUUCACUGAUGUCUAUUGACCAGUUUUGUUUCUCAUAACAUAAGCAUUCAGACAAGCCAGCUUGACAGUUCUCACAUGAAGAGUACUCCUGAAAUAAAGUGCAACAUCUCUUUUGGCUCCAUCACCAAUCUGAAGCUGCUGAAGUAGAUGCUUUUCUAACCUGAUUCCACUUUACAUUUUGCAGUUAUGAAAAUGAGUGCAGAUAAAUAUUAUUUUUAGAGCGAGUAGUAAAGAAGAUCACAGACAAAUAAUGAUGUGCAUAGUUCUUUUCUGUUUCCAAAGAAAUGGUUGAGCUCUGUUUUCAUACUCAUUACACUGGUGAUAAAGAAUGAAACUAUUGUCUGUUCAGUAA
Zingiber officinale is the source of this 3011-nucleotide RNA transcript. It is a transcript of the gene named type IV inositol polyphosphate 5-phosphatase 7-like, with no coding region annotated. The transcript is spliced from 14 exons. The record is from RefSeq and is a predicted model, not a curated record. Lineage: Eukaryota; Viridiplantae; Streptophyta; Magnoliopsida; Zingiberales; Zingiberaceae.